CCCUGGACCGUGCGUGGACUACGUGUUUGAUCCAUGCGGCUUCCAUGGACCGCCCAACACCCUGUGGUCCACGAUGGACUGCGUAGGGCACUGGGCCUGGGCACCUACGCAUGCUGGGUCGGCCCGCACAUGCCCGCAUUGGGCCCGCCCGUCUGCUGGGCCACACGUGCUUGCGCGCACGCAUCUCCGUCGGGCCCGACCGCACCAUCGUGGCCUCCGCCGCCUCAUGUGCCAUGCCGCAUGCUCC
RNAcentral lists this long non-coding RNA (247 nucleotides) under Elaeis guineensis (African oil palm). RNAcentral's name for it is "long non-coding RNA (EGUI_LNC045376)". The record is from RNAcentral. Lineage: Eukaryota; Viridiplantae; Streptophyta; Magnoliopsida; Arecales; Arecaceae.